RNAcentral lists this long non-coding RNA (463 nucleotides) under Citrus x clementina. RNAcentral describes it as "Citrus clementina (C. clementina) long non-coding RNA (CCLE_LNC003707)". Lineage: Eukaryota; Viridiplantae; Streptophyta; Magnoliopsida; Sapindales; Rutaceae. The record is from RNAcentral.
UAACCUUUAUAUUUUAACAAAAAGACAAUUAUGUCUUAUUUUUCCAUAACCCUAAUACAUAAAUCAUUAGAUGUUAUCUUACCACCACAAUCAAGUUACCGCAAUAACAAUUAUGUCAUUGUACAAUUAUAUAAGCAGGCACGCACAACGUGAUCUUCGUUUUGACAACAUUAAAAAUGAUCCUAGUUCAAUAUUUGACGAAUGAAUAGAAAGAGACAACAACUCUUAAGAAGAGUAUCACACAAUACUAUUGGCUCUGAAUUUUAAGAAAUGAAAAAUUAGAGGAAUAUUAUUACAACAGGUUUAAUGUGAAUGUAAUGCAUAUUAUUUUUUAUUUUAUGUAGAUUGUGUAUUAGUAUGAAUUUUUAUCACAUUUUAUGUAACAAAUUAUGAGGUUUACUAUAGUUUGUUUAAUUGAGUUUUUUCACAUUAUAUAAUUUCACAUAUUUAAAAAAAUAGUAUG